RNAcentral lists this ribosomal RNA (460 nucleotides) under uncultured bacterium. RNAcentral's name for it is "partial 16S ribosomal RNA". It matches the Rfam family "Bacterial small subunit ribosomal RNA", at positions 338 to 795 of the family's 1533-position model. The record is from RNAcentral.
CCUACGGGUGGCAGCAGUGAGGAAUAUUGGUCAAUGGGCGCGAGCCUGAACCAGCCAAGUCGCGUGAGGGAGGACGGCCCUACGGGUUGUAAACCUCUUUUGCCGGGGAGCAACGGGCGGCACGUGUGGCGCCACUGAGAGUACCCGGAGAAAAAGCAUCGGCUAACUCCGUGCCAGCAGCCGCGGUCAUACGGAGGAUGCGAGCGUUAUCCGGAUUGAUUGGGUUUAAAGGGUGCGUAGGCGGAUCGGUAAGUCAGUGGUCAAAUUGAGGGGCUCAACCCCUUCCCGCCAUUGAAACUGGCGCUCUUUAGUGGAAGAGAAGUAUGCGGACUGCGUGGUGUAGCGGUGAAAUGCAUAGAUAUCACGCAGAACCCCGAUUGCGAAGGCAGCAUGCCGGCUUCCGACUGACGCUGAAGCACGAAAGCGUGGGGAUCGAACAGGAUUAGAUACCCUUGUAGUC